CAGUAGCCGCGGGAAUACGUAGGGUGCAAGCGUUAAUCGGAAUUACUGGGCGUAAAGCGUGCGCAGGCGGUUAUAUAAGACAGAUGUGAAAUCCCUGGGCUCAACCUGGGAACUGCAUUUGUGACUGUAUAGCUAGAGUACGGCAGAGGGGGAUGGAAUUCCGCGUGUAGCAGUGAAAUGCGUAGAUAUGCGGAGGAACACCGAUGGCGAAGGCAAUCCCCUGGGCCUGUACUGACGCUCAUGCACGAAAGCGUGGGGAGCAAACAGGAUUAGAUACCCCUGUAGUCCCUGUCUCUUAUAA
RNAcentral lists this ribosomal RNA (301 nucleotides) under uncultured bacterium. RNAcentral describes it as "partial 16S ribosomal RNA". It matches the Rfam family "Bacterial small subunit ribosomal RNA", at positions 509 to 809 of the family's 1533-position model. The record is from RNAcentral.